Molecule: long non-coding RNA, 995 nt
Organism: Acipenser ruthenus (sterlet)
Lineage: Eukaryota; Metazoa; Chordata; Actinopteri; Acipenseriformes; Acipenseridae
Exons: 3
Source: RefSeq, a predicted model, not a curated record
AUAUACAGCAAACUGAAUACAUCAAACUUGUGUGGAUAUACAGCAAACUGAAUACAUCAAACUUUUUUUUUAAGAAUUGACACGUGACACAGCAACAAAUGCACGUGCUUCUGUGACCGUCAUUUCAUAAUUAUCUUCAGUAAUGGCAGAGUCCGCGAAAUCUGUAAUUGAUUUAGUCGACAAACUGGCAGGUGAUAGGAGCCUGUUAACAACUUUAGCAAAUGUUUUAGAAAACGGGGGUCGCAGGAUGCACGAAGUCGUAAAUGAAAAUAAUGUGGAAAAAGAAUUAAAAACUAUUUUUUUGAGACCAGCUUCAUCAGUUGCCGCCGGGCCUACACAUUCCGAAAUCAGUAACACGUCAAGUCUUGCAUCAUCUUAUUUCACGAGGUCAACGAUACGACCACCACAAAGAUUAACCCAACCAACCAAAAAAAGGCGACCAACUUUCAAAGGUCCUGCUACUUUUACAAAGGAGGUAGUAUUGCUGGGCGGACCUCACAACAAUGUAGUUGUAAAACACGGAACCAAGCAAUUACUCUAUGAAAGUGGGCAUGUGAUGAAUGCCUUUGAAUUCCACAAGGAGUGGUCGGCUGAAGAACUUCUAGAGAAUAUUAGAUCAGCUUUCAGCAGUCAUCUUCCUCCAGGAGCUAAUUUGGAAAUACUCAUGGCUUGCCACAAUAAACUGAUAGCUCCUUCUCUAAUGAGGAACCAAACACUCAAUGGUUGGAUGAUGAACAAAAUAUUUAAGCAACGCUCUGUCUAUAUUCGCCCCUCUGUUGAAAUCUUGGAUCUGCAAAGGCUGGACCAACAACCUGUAAGUUUUAUUUUUCUUGUUUUGUGAAAUAUUUGCCUCAUGUCUAUUUUAGGAUUAAGUUACUAGGGUUUAGAAGUUUUGCUGUGUUACUUCUAGGUAGAUGACAUGCAAAUCAUAUAUUAUACUUUUCUAUAAUUUGUCAGGGACAGUAAUAAGUUAUCUGUUCAUCUGAAAUUGUGUA